RNAcentral lists this transfer RNA (74 nucleotides) under Danio rerio (zebrafish). It matches the Rfam family "tRNA". From Rfam's summary of the family: Transfer RNA (tRNA) molecules are approximately 80 nucleotides in length. Their secondary structure includes four short double-helical elements and three loops (D, anti-codon, and T loops). Further hydrogen bonds mediate the characteristic L-shaped molecular structure. tRNAs have two regions of fundamental functional importance: the anti-codon, which is responsible for specific mRNA codon recognition, and the 3' end, to which the tRNAs corresponding amino acid is attached (by aminoacyl-tRNA synthetases). tRNAs cope with the degeneracy of the genetic code in two manners: having more than one tRNA (with a specific anti-codon) for a particular amino acid; and 'wobble' base-pairing, i.e. permitting non-standard base-pairing at the 3rd anti-codon position. The record is from Rfam by way of RNAcentral. Lineage: Eukaryota; Metazoa; Chordata; Actinopteri; Cypriniformes; Danionidae.
GUCUCUGUGGCGCAAUUAUUUAGCGCGUUCAGCUGUUAACUGAAAGGUUGGUGGUUCAAGCCCACCCAGGGAAG